CUCUGUCCACCUGGGGAGUCUGCAACAGUCAAGAAGCCAACGAAAGAGGCGAGUGGAGCGCAGAGCCGCAGACAGCAUAUGCACGCUCGACCUGGCAAGCCCUAGAAACCAGUAGAUGAAGCUUCAAUCAGCUUCUUCAGAAUCAUCACAACAAAAUGGGGCAAGGUGGGUUUUGUCCAGGACCCAAUUGAAGCUGAAUUUGCAGCAGUUUUGGAAGCUCUAUUUCUUGCUAAUGAUAGAGGUUGGAGGGAGCUAACAAUUAUCUCUGAUGCUAAUGUGAUGGUGGAGGCUAUAAAAGGACAUGAAGCUAUCAUAUCUUAGCGAUUUGCUUUUUUGAUUGAUAGAAUUAGGAAUUUGACUAAGUUGUUUUCUGUUGUAAAAUUUUUCUAUAAGCCUCGGCCCUAUACUAAGCCAGCUCAUAUCAUGGCCCAGGAGGCUAAGUCUUUAGUUGAUAGUUUGUAUUUGGAACUUCCCUCCUAGCUGGCUAGACCCUUUUCUCUCCCUUGUUUCUUAGUUGUUACUUCUCUUUUCACUUAGCAGAAAAAAAAAAGGUUAAGCAGAUUACUGUUUUGUAAACUUUUAUGUUGCUCUGUCUUGGGCUUUUAUUCUAUAGAUUUCUGUUUUUGAAUCUCUUUCUUUC
Molecule: long non-coding RNA, 640 nt
Organism: Nelumbo nucifera (sacred lotus)
Lineage: Eukaryota; Viridiplantae; Streptophyta; Magnoliopsida; Proteales; Nelumbonaceae
Source: RefSeq, a predicted model, not a curated record